Molecule: small nucleolar RNA, 148 nt
Filed under: Mastacembelus armatus (zig-zag eel)
Lineage: Eukaryota; Metazoa; Chordata; Actinopteri; Synbranchiformes; Mastacembelidae
Source: RNAcentral
CUUCAGUGAUGAUAAGAUGACGAGUCAGAACAGGACUUUGUGGUUCUGGUGGCAACUGGUCCAGACCUACGUUCUGUGGUUCUGCUCCAGCUCCUCAGAUCAAGGGGUCCUUUUCAAUUGAAGACAUUGAGGCAUUUGUCUGAGAAGG